GGAUGCGAUCAUACCAGCACUAAAUCACGGGAUCCCAUCAGAACUCCGAAGUUAAUCGUGCUUGGGCGAGAGUAGUACUAGGAUGGGUGACCUCUUGGGCAGUCCUCGUGUUGCAUUCC
This 119-nucleotide ribosomal RNA is filed under the name Hordeum vulgare subsp. vulgare (domesticated barley). Lineage: Eukaryota; Viridiplantae; Streptophyta; Magnoliopsida; Poales; Poaceae. The record is from RNAcentral.